CAAGAGCAAAAAAAGAAGACCAUUUCGGGUUUGAGGUGCAAAAAUUCACCACCAAAAAUCUUGCUCCUAAAAUUUUUCUUUUGUGGUUUCCCUACUAAGUUAAGGUUCCUUUGUAACUUGGUAUAGUUGGAUUGGAGUGGGGAGCAUUAGAAUCACCAAAGUGAUCACAUCUCCAAGUGAAGAAGACUUGAAGAAAAGUUUUUCGACGAAACGGGAAGUGAGUUUGGAAAGGCUUAAGGAGCGUGAAAGGUACAGAUGACAGGUUUGCUGAUCCACACGUUUAGGAUCCCGUUUCUGCUAUUUUGGGGCGCUCUCUUCUUCAGAGCCCAUCUUUUGGUACAGUCUGUCACUGUUAUCUGGAUAUGUAUAUUGUUCUGGGUAUGACGGGGCCCUGUCCCGUCUUAUGAUUAUGAUAUGUUCU
This is a long non-coding RNA of Lycium barbarum (goji berry), 421 nucleotides long. RefSeq lists it as uncharacterized. The record is from RefSeq and is a predicted model, not a curated record. NCBI's taxonomy places the organism in Eukaryota, Viridiplantae, Streptophyta, Magnoliopsida, Solanales, Solanaceae. The transcript has 3 exons.